RNAcentral lists this ribosomal RNA (728 nucleotides) under uncultured phototrophic eukaryote. RNAcentral's name for it is "bacterial SSU rRNA". It matches the Rfam family "Bacterial small subunit ribosomal RNA", at positions 28 to 785 of the family's 1533-position model. The record is from RNAcentral.
GAGUAACGCUGGCGGUAUGCUAACACAUGCAAGUCGAACGAAAGUUUAUACUUUAGUUGGCGGACGGGUGAGUAAUACGUGAGAAUCUACCUUUAGGAAGGGAUUAACAAUUGGAAACGAUUGCUAAUGCCCUAUAUGCUUAGCAGUGAAACAGAUUUAUCUGCCUGAAGAUGAGCUCGCGCCUGAUUAGCUAGUUGGUAGAGUAAAAGCCUACCAAGGCAACGAUCAGUAGCUGGUUUGAGAGGACGAUCAGCCACACUGGGACUGAGACACGGCCCAGACUUCUACGGAAGGCAGCAGUGGGGAAUUUUCCGCAAUGAGCGAAAGCUUGACGGAGCAAUACCGCGUGAGGGAAGAAUGCCUGUGGGUUGUAAACCUCUUUUUUUAGGGAAGAAAAUAUGACGGUACCUAAAGAAUAAGCAUCGGCUAACUCCGUGCCAGCAGCCGCGGUAAUACGGGGGAUGCAAGCGUUAUCCGGAAUUACUGGGCGUAAAGCGUCUGCAGGUGGCUUAAAAAGUCUGCUGUUAAAUAUUAGAGCUCAACUCUGAGUAGCAGUGGAAACUGUUAGGCUAGAGUAUGGUACUCGGGUAAAGGGAACUCCAGUUGUAGCGGUGAAAAUGCGUAGAUAUUGGGAAGAACACCAGUUAGGCGAAAGGCGCUUUACUAGACCAUUUAACUGGACACUUCAGAAGACGAAAGCUAGGGGGAGCCAAAUGGGACUUAGAUUA